AGGUAUCUCCUAAUACGAGAUACUGCUGACGGUAUCUGCAGAAUAAGCACCGGCUAACUACGUGCCAGCAGCCGCGGUAAUACGUAGGGUGCAAGCGUUAAUCGGAAUUACUGGGCGUAAAGCGUGUGUAGGCGGUUCGGAAAGAAAGAUGUGAAAUCCCAGGGCUCAACCUUGGAACUGCAUUUUUAACUGCCGAGCUAGAGUAUGUCAGAGGGGGGUAGAAUUCCACGUGUAGCAGUGAAAUGCGUAGAUAUGUGGAGGAAUACCGAUGGCGAAGGCAGCCCCCUGGGAUAAUACUGACGCUCAGACACGAAAGCGUGGGGAGCAAACAGGAUUAGAUACCCUGGUAGUCCACGCCCUAAACGAUGUCAACUAGCUGUUGGGGCCGUUACGGUCUAGUAGCGCAGCUAACGCGUGAAGUUGACCGCCUGGGGAGUACGGUCGCAAGAUUAAAACUCAAAGGAAUUGACGGGGACCCGCACAAGCGGUGGAUGAUGUGGAUUAAUUCGAUGCAACGCGAAAAACCUUACCUACCCUUGACAUGUCUGGAAAGCCGAAGAGAUUUGGCCGUGCUCGCAAGAGAACCGGAACACAGGUGCUGCAUGGCUGUCGUCAGCUCGUGUCGUGAGAUGUUGGGUUAAGUCCCGCAACGGGCGCAACCCUUGUCAUUAGUUGCUACGGAAGNAGCACUCUAAUGAGACUGCCGGUGACAAACCGGAGGAAGGUGGGGAUGACGUCAAGUCCUCAUGGCCCUUAUGGGUAGGGCUUCACACGUCAUACAAUGGUCGGGACAGAGGGUCGCCAACCCGCGAGGGGGAGCCAAUCUCAGAAACCCGAUCGUAGUCCGGAUCGCAGUCUGCAACUCGACUGCGUGAAGUCGGAAUCGCUAGUAAUCGCGGAUCAGAAUGUCGCGGUGAAUACGUUCCCGGGUCUUGUACACACCGCCCGUCACACCAUGGGAGUGGGUUUCACCAGAAGUAGGUAGCCUAACCGUAAGGAGGGCGCUUACCACGGUGGUGAUUCAUGACUGGGGUGAAGUCGUAACAAGGU
This 1050-nucleotide ribosomal RNA is filed under the name Alcaligenes faecalis. RNAcentral describes it as "bacterial SSU rRNA". It matches the Rfam family "Bacterial small subunit ribosomal RNA", at positions 452 to 1497 of the family's 1533-position model. The record is from RNAcentral. Lineage: Bacteria; Pseudomonadati; Pseudomonadota; Betaproteobacteria; Burkholderiales; Alcaligenaceae.